GUGGGGAAUAUUGGACAAUGGGCGAAAGCCUGAUCCAGCCAUGCCGCGUGUGUGAAGAAGGUCUUCGGAUUGUAAAGCACUUUAAGUUGGGAGGAAGGGCAGUAAGUUAAUACCUUGCUGUUUUGACGUUACCGACAGAAUAAGCACCGGCUAACUUCGUGCCAGCAGCCGCGGUAAUACGAAGGGUGCAAGCGUUAAUCGGAAUUACUGGGCGUAAAUCGCGCGUAGGUGGUUUUGUAAGUUGGAGGUGAAAUCCCCGGGCUCAACCUGGGAACUGCCUCCAAAACUGCAUGACUAGAGUACGGUAGAGGGUAGUGGAAUUUCCUGUGUAGCGGUGAAAUGCGUAGAUAUAGGAAGGAACACCAGUGGCGAAGGCGACUACCUGGACUGAUACUGACACUGAGGUGCGAAAGCGUGGGGAGCAAACAGGAUUAGAUACCCGUGUAGUCC
Molecule: ribosomal RNA, 450 nt
Filed under: uncultured bacterium
Lineage: Bacteria
Description: partial 16S ribosomal RNA
Rfam family: Bacterial small subunit ribosomal RNA
Source: RNAcentral